GGACCCAUGGCGCAACGGUAGCGCGUCAGAUUCCAGUUCAUGGAGUCUCCUGAAGGUUAUCCGUUCGAAUCGGGUUGGGUUCA
RNAcentral lists this transfer RNA (83 nucleotides) under Trichoderma reesei QM6a. It matches the Rfam family "tRNA". From Rfam's summary of the family: Transfer RNA (tRNA) molecules are approximately 80 nucleotides in length. Lineage: Eukaryota; Fungi; Ascomycota; Sordariomycetes; Hypocreales; Hypocreaceae. The record is from Rfam by way of RNAcentral. RNAcentral also lists the same sequence under 2 other names.